Molecule: ribosomal RNA, 253 nt
Filed under: uncultured bacterium
Lineage: Bacteria
Description: partial 16S ribosomal RNA
Rfam family: Bacterial small subunit ribosomal RNA
Source: RNAcentral
UACAGAGGUGGCAAGCGUUGUUCGGAAUUACUGGGCGUAAAGGGCGCGUAGGCGGCCUUCUAAGUCAGACGUGAAAUCCCCCGGCUUAACCUGGGAACUGCGUCUGAUACUGGGAGGCUUGAGUAUGGGAGAGGGAUGUAGAAUUCCAGGUGUAGCGGUGAAAUGCGUAGAUAUCAGGAGGAACACCUGUGGCGAAAGCGGCUCACUGGACCACAACUGACGCUGAGGCGCGAAAGCUAGGGGAGCAAACAGG